CAGGAAGUAACGCGCGGGGGCCGGAAGUUGCUUGUCACGUGACCCUGUGUGACUCUUGCGGGGCCGGGCGCGGCCAUAUUUGCUCGUGUUAUCCGUAAUACAAAAGCCAGGACUUAAUCUUUUUGACUUGUUUACAGCUUCAUAGAAAAUUUUCAUUCCAGGCCUUGCUGCCUGCUGGAGACCUACCGCUUUGUACUGUGCUUGCCCAUUCGUUCUUGUUCCCUAGGGACGAGGGGGUGGCUUCUAAGACGGAGUCACAGUUGGAGCCUCUCCGAAGAUGGGGCAGUGACUCCUGGGCCCUUAGACUACACGCGCACUGCCAUCCCCAUCUUCCCACUGGAUGGGGGUCUCCUUUCGCAUCCGGGGCAGACAUCUCUUCCCUAGAGAGACGGGCGUUGUGCUGGGAGCUGAAGAUUUAGAGGUGAACAAGAUGUGGAGCCUGCCCUUCUGGAGCCCACAGUCAGACUGGGGUAAGGUGGAGGUGGAUAGAAGCCAAGAGGAGUAAGUGAAGGAUAUGGAAAAUAACAACCCCCAGGGAGACAGGAGGACAGUGUGACCCAGGAGGUGGGAGGAGAAGGCAAACAGUGGGGCCUGGGCUCUGGACUUUCACCCUUUCCCAGCAACAAUUUCGAACUUUCGUAACUGUUUCCCUGAUUUGGGCUUUGAACUUGCACAACUGUUUUCCCUGACUACCCAACCAUCGUACUCUGCAAUGAUUCCAGUCUCCCUUAUUAUGAUCCAGAUCUCACUUAAACACUGUAAAAAUCAGAGACCACACCCCACCCCGUAAUCAACCGCCAGUUUCUCCCCUGAAAAUAUGCCAUUCCGCUGCUUAAUAAAGAAAGCUUGCUUAUUCCUUGA
This is a non-coding RNA of Marmota flaviventris (yellow-bellied marmot), 861 nucleotides long. The record is from RefSeq and is a predicted model, not a curated record. NCBI's taxonomy places the organism in Eukaryota, Metazoa, Chordata, Mammalia, Rodentia, Sciuridae.